This 520-nucleotide unclassified non-coding RNA is filed under the name Hevea brasiliensis (rubber tree). Lineage: Eukaryota; Viridiplantae; Streptophyta; Magnoliopsida; Malpighiales; Euphorbiaceae. The record is from RNAcentral.
AAUUUUUGGGAUAAAGGCUUAGUGAAUUAAGUUGAGUUGUAUAGUGGCUUCUAUCUAAUUGUCUUUACCUCUUAGAUGCCUUGCUAAAUAUUCUUGCUUAGAUCUAUAUGAAUAGACCUGGCUAACGGCCGGUUCCGGGCCUAAACUGGCAGUUCCGGUUCAAGGGGAUCAGAACCGGACCUUCAAGGUUUGCCUGAUUCUAUUUCGGUUUUGGUUUUUAUGAAAACAAACAGUUGAAUUCUUUUCAAAAUUUUUAAUUUUUUUAAAAUGAAAAAAAAAAAAUCCAGUUUGGUCUGAAAUCGAACCAGCUGGUUUCGGUCUAGUUUAAUGGCGGUUUUGGUCAAUCCGGUUUUGAACAGUUUUGGUCCGGUUCAGAUUCCGAACCGGCCUGUGGCCAGGUCUAUAUAUGAAUGAUUUCCCUUUCUUUAGAUCAAAAGCAUUAUGGAGGUAAAGUGACACAACUUGAUACCAAUGAAACUAUUAAUGGUCAUGGCACUUGCUAAUUUGUGUCUUUCACUGC